UCUCUGUAGCGGUAGAGAGGAAAGGGCCUGGCUGCCUGGAAGCUGAGAAGGUACCAAGACUGGAGCAGGGCCAGGGGAAGGCCAGAGGCGCUCCAACCUAGAAACCCCGCAGGCUGCAGGCCUUGUUAAAGGCCAGAAAAAGAACAAUUUCUUACCACAUUCUGGAGCCAUACUUUCAGGUGGAGAACUUUCAGAUUUGGGUGAUGGAUCUGGCCCGCAUGUUUAGAGAGAUGAUGUGGGACAAGGUGGAGAAUGAUUAGUGGGCAGACCACCAGCUGAAGAACAUAUGGAAAUCAUGUCCGUCUUGGCCAUGUUGGAGCUAUAAAAAUAACUCUGGCCUUUUCUUUCUUUAUUUUGUAUAUUGCUUUGGAUAUUAGCAGAAUUGGAGGAAAUGCAUAUAAAAGAUGUCUAUUCCAUUUGAGGAGAAAAGCAUCUUCGAGAGAACAAUGACCCCAUCCUGUUCUGGAGCAGAACUGAGGGCAUUUCUUCUUCUUGACUGUGAUGAAGAGGUCUAUCUUUUGAGUUCCCCAAUGCGUGAAUAUGCUGUGAAGGAUCUAAUUCGUGAUCUUGGGAGAAUUUUCUGCUGUGCAUAUCUGCUGUAGUGUUCUGAAUGCCUAGGAGGUGUGCCAUCGCAACAGAGGACUUUGGAGAAGAUCUUGGGUGCCAAUGAUAGGCCAAACGGGAGCACUUUGUACUGGAAAUUAUUAUGCCCUAGAACGAAUCUCAGAAACCUCCUGUGGGAUGGAUGAAUCAUGAUAUGAAAGUAAGCGUCUUGUAGGUUGAGGGCCAAGAACCAAUCCCCCUGGUCCAGAGAUGGGAUUACUGCUGCCAAGGUAACCAUCUUGAAAUGUACUUUUACAAAUCUGAGCACCCUUAGAUCUAGAAUGGGUCUCCAACUGUCAUUCCUUUUCUGUAUCAGGAAAUAUUUGGAAUAGAAACUCUUCCCUUUGUGUUUGGUUCGAAACUGGUUCUAUAGAACCUAGUUUCACAUAAAAGAUGCUCAGGAGAGAGUUUUCACUUGUCUGUGGUUAUACACUUCCAAGAUUGAUGGAAAGGGGUAAGGUGGUCACCAAAUUGAGGGAGAUGCUCUGGCUGUUGCAGCAAAUGAAAUGGGGGGUGUGGUAACUCAGGGCCUGGAUCAAGAUGUCAAAAUUGUUGUUUAGAUGUAGAUGGCUGUGAUGUUGGUGAUUGUGGGGCAGAUAAUCUAUGUUUUUGUACCCUCUGUCUCUUGCUUCGGAGCUCAUAAUAUCUGUGAAGAGGAAUAAAGUGUGAUCUCUGUGUCAUUUGGUAUUUACUGGGUGUUCUCUUUUGGGCAGGAGUGUAAAUACCCAGAGAGCAUAACAUUUCCCUGGCAUCUUUUAAUGAGUAGAGGGAUUUGUCAGUUUUGUCCAUGAA
Molecule: long non-coding RNA, 1395 nt
Organism: Mauremys reevesii (Reeves's turtle)
Lineage: Eukaryota; Metazoa; Chordata; Testudines; Geoemydidae
Exons: 3
Source: RefSeq, a predicted model, not a curated record